RNAcentral lists this ribosomal RNA (406 nucleotides) under uncultured bacterium. RNAcentral describes it as "partial 16S ribosomal RNA". It matches the Rfam family "Bacterial small subunit ribosomal RNA", at positions 29 to 526 of the family's 1533-position model. The record is from RNAcentral.
AUUGAACGCUGGCGGCAGGCCUAACACAUGCAAGUCGAACGAGUGGCGGACGGGUGAGUAAUGUCUGGGAAACUGCCCGAUGGAGGGGGAUAACUACUGGAAACGGUAGCUAAUACCGCAUACCAUCGGAUGUGCCCAGAUGGGAUUAGCUAGUAGGUGGGGUAACGGAUCACCUAGGCGACGAUCCCUAGCUGGUCUGAGAGGAUGACAAGCCACACUGGAAGUGGGACAGGGUCCAGACUCAUACGGAAGGCAGCAGGGGGGAAGAUUGCACAAGGGGCGCAAGCCUGAUGGAGCCAUGCAGCGUGAAUGAAGAGGGCCUUCGGGUUGUAAAGUACUUUCAGCGAGGAGGCGUUACUCGCAGAAGAAGCACCGGCUAACUCCGUGCCAGCAGCCGCGGUAAUUC